UACGAAGGGGGCGAGCGUUGUUCGGAAUUACUGGGCGUAAAGGGCGCGUAGGCGGCCGAUCAAGUCAGAUGUGAAAGUCCUGGGCUUAACCUGGGGACUGCAUUUGAUACUGAUUGGCUUGAAUGCAGGAGAGGAUAGCGGAAUUCCCAGUGUAGAGGUGAAAUUCGUAGAUAUUGGGAAGAACACCGGUGGCGAAGGCGGCUAUCUGGACUGUGAUUGACGCUGGAGGCGACGAAAGCCGUGGGGAGCAAACAGG
This 256-nucleotide ribosomal RNA is filed under the name uncultured bacterium. RNAcentral's name for it is "partial 16S ribosomal RNA". It matches the Rfam family "Bacterial small subunit ribosomal RNA", at positions 524 to 776 of the family's 1533-position model. The record is from RNAcentral.